Molecule: ribosomal RNA, 490 nt
Filed under: uncultured bacterium
Lineage: Bacteria
Description: partial 16S ribosomal RNA
Rfam family: Bacterial small subunit ribosomal RNA
Source: RNAcentral
AUUGAACGCUGGCGGCAGGCCUAACACAUGCAAGUCGAACGGUAACAGGAAGAAGCUUGCUUCUUUGCUGACGAGUGGCGGACGGGUGAGUAAUGUCUGGGAAACUGCCUGAUGGAGGGGGAUAACUACUGGAAACGGUAGCUAAUACCUCAUAACGUCGCAAGACCAAAGAGGGGGACCUUCGGGCCUCUUGCCAUCGGAUGUGCCCAGAUGGGAUUAGCUAGUAGGUGGGGUAACGGCUCACCUAGGCGACGAUCCCUAGCUGGUCUGAGAGGAUGACCAGCCACACUGGAACUGAGACACGGUCCAGACUCCUACGGGAGGCAGCAGUGGGGAAUAUUGCACAAUGGGAGCAAGCCUGAUGCAGCCAUGCCGCGUGUAUGAAGAAGGCCUUCGGGUUGUAAAGUACUUUCAGCGGGGAGGAAGGGAGUAAAGUUAAUACCUUUGCUCAUUGACGUUACCCGCAGAAGAAGCACCGGCUAACUCCGUG